This is a long non-coding RNA of Lutra lutra (Eurasian river otter), 435 nucleotides long. RefSeq lists it as uncharacterized. NCBI's taxonomy places the organism in Eukaryota, Metazoa, Chordata, Mammalia, Carnivora, Mustelidae. The transcript is spliced from 2 exons. The record is from RefSeq and is a predicted model, not a curated record.
GGGGAGGGAGAGGGAGGUCGCGGGGGCGGGGCACAGCUAGAGCCCCGCCCCCAGGGAGGGCCGUGCCCGCGCGGCACUCCUCCCCUCCCCCCACCUCCCGUGGCGACCACCGUGGGGCGCGAGGUCCGGGCCCUACCCAGUUGGAGCCCCUCUUCCGUGUCCGCUCCUCCGGCCCCCGGCUGAAACCAAGCUGGGAGGAAAAAGCCCUGAGCGCUGCUUUGCACCCCUUCUUGCAGGGCGCAGACUCUAUGUGUGGUGUAGGUUUAUUGCCUUGGCCUCAGGCAGGUGGCGGCUGCUCCUCUCUGCUUUAUGAAAGACGGGGACAGUGACGCUGAGUCCCUCAAAGUCUUUGAGGUGAAUGCCGAGCCGGAUGCAGGUCUGUGGAAGAGAAGUUUUGUUCCCAUGAUUCAGAAUAACCAAUAUAUGAUAGACUUU